RNAcentral lists this long non-coding RNA (2014 nucleotides) under Homo sapiens (human). RNAcentral describes it as "HSALNT0090285". The record is from RNAcentral. Lineage: Eukaryota; Metazoa; Chordata; Mammalia; Primates; Hominidae.
UAAAGUUGUAUAAUAAUAGUACUUAGAUCAUAGGGUUACUUUGGACAUUGAAUGGGUUAACAGAUGUGAAACUCUUAGAAAAAUGCAUGGCUCCAACUAGUGUUAACUUUAAAAAGCAAAACAAAAGAAAACAAAACUUAAAAUUCCUUUGCCGGUUACUCAUAUUAACAAAAACAAUUACAUAUGUUGCUGUAUGUAUAUUCAUUUACCUUCAGAAGCAUUCUAGUAAAUGCGAGCCAUCAUGUGAAUGGUAAGAGGCUGGCUUAGCCCCUCUGGCUUAGCCCCUCUGGCUUAGCCCACCUCCAGCACCAACUGUCAGAAGAGCUCUAAGACUAAUGGAUCUAAACCUAGUUCACUUUAAGUCAUUGACCAGCUUUGUUGAUUGCAUUUUGCUGUAGCAAUGUUAGAAACCAUAUACAUUAAAUGCUCCUGAUCUUCCUCAGAGAUGGCCCUGCUCAAAGAUGCUGAUAAUAUUUAUCUGUGUGUGGAUGUAGCUAAAUUUCUUUUAAGUAAGUCCAUGGAGGAAAUAAAAAAUACCUCAUAACUUUCCCUUUCAUCUUUGGAUGCCUUCCUUCCAGCAGAGUUUAUGUGGAACAAAAACCUGUCUUUCUAGCCAGUUCUGGCCCCACACAAGCCAGUGAUGUAAUCAAAGUUCAUCCUUGGGGCACUUCCUACCUGGGCUUUAACCCCUAGUCUGAUCUCUGUCACCAUACCUACUCUAUACCCUCAUCCUCACCUCUGUCUUAAUGAAAAUAUAUUGAACAUAUUUUAAACAGGUAAAUAAAUGUUAGAGGCCCAGUGUAUAGCUCCUAUCCUGGGAAAAGCCUGCCUGUCGCUUAUUCUUCUCCCAUGGAAGGCCUUCUCUACAUCCUAUCUUUCUGCAUUUAGAUAAAAUAUGCCUAAUUCCAAGGGAUUUUGUGAGGGGGGGCAGGAGGAGUUAUCAAUAAUAUAGUGGACAUAAAAUGGGAUAUUUUAAGGGAGAAGGAAAAGAGGAAAAGGUGUGGAAAAAAAAAACCCAAGAGCAACAAAGUAGUGGGGGAAACCACAGCAGAAAAGGCAUUAGAGAAGGAAAGAGAGGCGAAGUAGAGAAGAGAGUUAGCUCCUUUUGUGGUCAGCGUCAUGAGAAGCAAGUUGAACAGGGCAAGGUUUAGGAAAGGGUCCUCUGGCAGAUUUAGGAGGUCAGGUAGGGAGGAUUACUGAAAAGCCUUAGUUGUGAACUACACUGAGGCAACAAUAUGGUCCAUCCAACUGGGGGCAUGGCAGAGGUGUUAAGUCAGAUUGGCAAGUGGCCCAAAUUGUUGGUCAGGCUCUGGCCAGGUAAGCCAAUUGGCCAGAGGUCAGCACCAUGGAUAGUCCCAAAGGAUUUGUGGACUCUGGAGAGAAGUGAAGAGAACCCUACAUAUUUGGUGACAGACUAAAGUUUGGUGUUUUUUUUAGCUCAGCCCCUAAGGCUGUUUUGGUUCUACCUAUAUUCAAAAACAACAUUUAUUGAGCACCUAUUGUGUGCCAGACACCCUUACUAGUUCUGGAGAAUGACAAAGAAAUGAGAUGAUACUGUCUGCCCUUAAGAAGCUUACUACUCCCUGGAUAAACUAGAAAUUUUUAAAAAUGAAAAUAAUGAUAUGGCCCUCUUGAGGGAGGAGGGUGGGAAGAGGGAGAGGAUGAGAAAAAAAAUAAUUGUUGAGUACUAUGCUUAGUACCCAGGUGACAAAAUGCUCUGUACCUCAGACUCCUGUGACAUGAGUUUGCCUGUAUUAACAAACCUGCACAUGUACCCCUGAGCCUAAAAUAAAAAUUAAAAAGUGAAAUAAAGAAAAUAAUAAUAGCUAAUAUUUAUUGAGCAAUUACUAUAUACAAAGUACAUAAUUCUAACUGCUAUACAUAAAUUAUUUUAUUGAAUUCUCUCAACAACCUUAUGAAGGAGGUAUUAGUAUCCUUAUAGAUGAUGAAGCUGAGGCACGUAGAAUUUAAGAAACUUUCUUUGUUACGUACCUUGUUAGAAAUAAAGCCAGGA